This 253-nucleotide ribosomal RNA is filed under the name uncultured bacterium. RNAcentral describes it as "partial 16S ribosomal RNA". It matches the Rfam family "Bacterial small subunit ribosomal RNA", at positions 524 to 776 of the family's 1533-position model. The record is from RNAcentral.
UACGGGGGGGGCAAGCGUUGUUCGGAAUUACUGGGCGUAAAGGGUUUGUAGGUGGCCCGCUAAGUCACACGUGAAAUCCCUCAGCUUAACUGGGGAACUGCGUGUGAGACUGGCAGGCUCGAGGGCAGGAGAGGAACGCGGAAUUCCAGGUGUAGCGGUGAAAUGCGUAGAUAUCUGGAGGAACACCGGUGGCGAAGGCGGCGUUCUGGACUGUCUCUGACACUGAAGAACGAAAGCCAGGGGAGCAAACAGG